GAUGAACGCUAGCGGCAGGCUUAAUACAUGCAAGUCGUGGGGCAGCAGGGGCGUAGCAAUACGCUCGCUGGCGACCGGCAAACGGGUGCGGAACACGUACACAACCUUCCUUUAAGUGGGGAAUAGCCCGGUGAAACCCGGCUUAAUACCCCGUAACAUAAUGAAGUGGCAUCGCUUUAUUAUUAUAGCUCCGGCGCAUGAAGCUGGGUGUGCGACUGAUUAGGCAGUUGGCGGGGUAACGGCCCACCAAACCUACGAUCAGUAACUGGUGUGAGAGCACGACCAGUCACACGGGCACUGAGACACGGGCCCGACUCCUACGGGAGGCAGCAGUAAGGAAUAUUGGUCAAUGGACGCAAGUCUGAACCAGCCAUGCCGCGUGGAGGAUGAAGGUCCUCUGGAUUGUAAACUUCUUUUAUCUGGGAAGAAAUCCAUGAAUUCUUUUGUGGUUGACGGUACCAGAUGAAUAAGCACCGGCUAACUCCGUGCCAGCCGCCGCCGUAA
RNAcentral lists this ribosomal RNA (504 nucleotides) under uncultured bacterium. Its description in RNAcentral is "partial 16S ribosomal RNA". It matches the Rfam family "Bacterial small subunit ribosomal RNA", at positions 28 to 523 of the family's 1533-position model. The record is from RNAcentral.